Ribosomal RNA from Gossypium raimondii (Peruvian cotton), 119 nucleotides. Lineage: Eukaryota; Viridiplantae; Streptophyta; Magnoliopsida; Malvales; Malvaceae. The record is from Rfam.
GGGUGCAAUCAUACCAAUACUAAUGCAUCAAAUCCCAUCAGAACUACGCAGUUAAGUGUUCUUGGACAAUGUUAGUACUAAGAUGGGUGACCUCUUGAGAAAUCCUCAUGUUGCACCCC